RNAcentral lists this ribosomal RNA (253 nucleotides) under uncultured bacterium. RNAcentral describes it as "partial 16S ribosomal RNA". It matches the Rfam family "Bacterial small subunit ribosomal RNA", at positions 524 to 776 of the family's 1533-position model. The record is from RNAcentral.
UACAGAGGGUGCGAGCGUUGUUCGGAAUUACUGGGCGUAAAGGGCUCGUAGGCGGCCAACUAAGUCGGAUGUGAAAUCCCCAGGCUUAACCUGGGAACUGCAUCCGAUACUGGAUGGCUUGAAUCCGGGAGAGGGAUGCGGAAUUCCAGGUGUAGCGGUGAAAUGCGUAGAUAUCUGGAGGAACACCGGUGGCGAAGGCGGCAUCCUGGACCGGCAUUGACGCUGAGGAGCGAAAGCCAGGGGAGCAAACGGG